Molecule: ribosomal RNA, 468 nt
Filed under: uncultured bacterium
Lineage: Bacteria
Description: partial 16S ribosomal RNA
Rfam family: Bacterial small subunit ribosomal RNA
Source: RNAcentral
GACGAACGCUGGCGGCGUGCUUAACACAUGCAAGUCGAACGGAAAGGCCCUGCUUUUGUUGGGUGCUCGAUUGGCGAACAGGUGAGUAACACGUGAGUAACCUGCCCUUUACUUUGGGGUAAAUUCAGGAAACUGGGGCUAAUACCGGAUAGGAGCUCCUGCUGCAUGUGGUUGGUUGGAAAGUUUCGGCGGUUGUGGAUGGACUCGCGGCUUAUCAGCUUGUUGGUGGGGUAGUGGCUUACAAAGGCUUUGACGGGUAGCCGGCCUGAGAGGGUGACCGGCCACAUUGGGACUGAGAUACGGCCCAGACUCCUACGGGAGGCAGCAGUGGGGAAUAUUGCACAAUGGGCGGAAGCCUGAUGCAGCAACGCCGCGUGCGGGAUGACGGCCUUCGGGUUGUAAACCGCUUUCGCCUGUGACGAAGCGUGAGUGACGGUAAUGGGUAAAGAAGCACCGGCUAACUACGUG